This is a long non-coding RNA of Pezoporus occidentalis (night parrot), 387 nucleotides long. RefSeq lists it as uncharacterized. NCBI's taxonomy places the organism in Eukaryota, Metazoa, Chordata, Aves, Psittaciformes, Psittacidae. The record is from RefSeq and is a predicted model, not a curated record. The transcript is spliced from 3 exons.
AUGGAGCUGUUGGAGCAAGUCCAGAGGAGGCCACGACGACGACCAGGGGCUGGAGCACCUCCCAUACAGAGACAAGCUGAGAACACUGGGGCUGCUCAGCCUGGAGAAGAGAAGCUGCGUGGAGACCUCUGAGCAGCUUCCAGUGUCUGAAGGGGGCUACAAGGAUGCUGGAGAGGGACUCUUCAUCAGGGACUGUGGUGAUAGGACAAGGGGUGAUGGGUUCAAACUGAAACAGGGGAAACUGAGAUGAGCUCUUAGGCAGAAGCUCUUCCCUGUGUGGGUGCUGAGGUGCUGGCACAGGGUGCCCAGAGAAGCUGUGGCUGCCCCAUCCCUGGCAUGCUCAAGGCCAGGCUGGAGCAACCUGCUCUAGUGGAAGGUGUCCCUGCC